GACGAACGCUGGCGGCGUGCUUAACACAUGCAAGUCGAACGGAAAGGCCCUGCUUUUGUGGGGUGCUCGAGUGGCGAAAGGGUGUGUAACACGUGAGUAACCUGCCCUUGACUUUGGGAUAACUUCAGGAAACUGGGGCUAAUACCGGAUAGGAGCUCCUGCUGCAUGGUGGGGGGUGGAAAGUUUCGGCGGUUGAGGAUGGACUCGCGGCUUAUCAGCUUGUUGGUGGGGUAGUGGCUUACCAAGGCUGUGACGGGUAGCCGGCCUGAGAGGGUGACCGGCAACAUUGGGACUGAGAUACGGCCCAUACUCCUACGGGAGGCAGCAGUGGGGAAUAUUGCACAAUGGGCGGAAGCCUGAUGCAGCAACGCCGCGUGCGAGAUAACGGCCUUCGGGUUGUAAACCGCUUUCGCCUGUGACGAAGCGUGAGUGACGGUAAUGGGUAAAGAAGCACCGGCUAACUACGUG
RNAcentral lists this ribosomal RNA (468 nucleotides) under uncultured bacterium. Its description in RNAcentral is "partial 16S ribosomal RNA". It matches the Rfam family "Bacterial small subunit ribosomal RNA", at positions 28 to 507 of the family's 1533-position model. The record is from RNAcentral.